AAGUCCGUUGAGGCUGCCAGGCGAGUCAGGCCUUUCUGGACCUCGCCUGACUCGGAUGGGCUGUGCCUGAAAUUGACCCAGCUCCACUAGGGAUUAUGAAGAAACAAGGAGUAAACCCAAAGCCGCUGCAAUCUUCCCGCCCCAGCCCGUCUAAGCGGCCGUACGGGGCCUCCCCCGCCCGGGAGCUGGAGGUGGAAAAGUCGGCCCUAGGCGGCGGGAAACUGCCAGGGGGCGCCAGGAGGUCCUCCCCGGGGAGGAUCCCAAAUCUGAAAAAGCGAAAAGGCUUGGAGCUAAAGGUGGUGGCCAAGACCCUUCUCGACCCCUUCCAGUUCGUCCGUAAUUCCCUGGCGCAGCUCCGGGAAGAGGUGCACGAACUGCAGGCGCGGUGGUUCCCCAGCAGAACCACUCUCAGCAUCGGGACUUUAUUAUUCCUACUUCAAGACCAUCAUUGAAGCACCUUCAUUUUUGGAAGGACUGUGGAUGAUUAUGAAUGACAGGCUUACUGAAUAUCCUCUUGUAAUUAAUACAGUAAAACGCUUCCAUCUUUAUCCAGAGGAUUGGGAGAUCCUGCUUGCUUUUAUGUUGGUGUAAUCUUUAUUUUAAAUGGACUAAUGAUGGGAUUGUUCUUCAUGUAUGGAGCAUACCUGAGGACCUCAAGCAAUGAUAGAAGGCCCUUCAUUGCACUCUGUCUUUCCAAUGUUGCUUUUAUGCUUCCCUGGCAAUUUGCUCAGUUUAUACUUUUUACACAGAUAGCAUCAUUAUUUCCCAUGUAUGUUGUGGGAUACAUUGAACCAAGCAAAUUUCAGAAGAUCAUUUAUAUGAACAUGAUUUCAGUUACCCUUAGUUUCAUUUUGAUGUUUGGAAAUUCAAUGUACUUAUCUUCUUCUUAUUCUUCAUCUUUGUUAAUGACGUGGCUAAUUCAAGGUAGUGCCUGGUGGUGUGGAACAAUCAUUUUGAAAUUUCUGACAUCUAAAAUCUUAGGCGUUUCAGACCACAUUCGCCUGAGUGAUCUUAUAGCAGCCAGAAUCUUAAGGUAUACAGAUUUUGAUACUUUAAUAUACACCUGUGCUCCCGAAUUUGACUUCAUGGAAAAAGCGACUCCACUGAGAUACACAAAGACAUUAUUGCUUCCAGUUGUUAUGGUGAUUACAUGUUUUAUCUUUAAAAAGACUGUUCGUGAUAUUUCGUGUGUUUUAGCUACAAACAUUUAUCUAAGAUGCUGUCUUCGCAGGUGCCAUGCCUACAAUGGCAAGCGUCAAGCUGUCUACACUUCAUCCCAUUGUGAAUCAUCCACUUUACGAAGAUGCAGACUUGAGGUUGGCAGCUGAUGAGUAUUUCUUCAAGACUCACUUGGCGACUCCCAAUUCUUAGGAAUUGGGAAAAUUUUUACACACACACAGACACACACACACACACACAAACUCAUCCUCAUUUUCGUACUGGAAGUUAAAAAAAAAUGACAAUAACCAUCCAGAAAUGACAAUAUGUACCUGUUGCCUCUGGAGCAAGCAGACCUCUGAAAACUGAAAAAUGCAAAAGCCAGUUUUUUCCAAAGUGACAAAUGUGUCACAUAUUUAUGAUGUGUGCGUGUAUUCCAGUAAAACUACUAGGUAGUUGGAAGAGUAGGUAGGAUGGAUUUUACUCACAGCCAUGGUUUGCCAACCCCUGCUCUACACCACAAGCCCCACUCUGAUUUAAGAAAUGAUUUCUAGAUCUUACUGGUGGCCAAUGACUAGCUUUUUGUGACAGGUAGAAAAAGUACAUGAAAGUUGCUAUUAUAUAGUACGUGCUUUCAUGAAAAUUUAGAGUAUUUUUGCUAGUCGAUUAUGAGAACUCUAGUUUCCAUUGAUGUCUAAAAGUUUUGCUUUCCUUAAAUGGCUGGUUUAAAAAAUUAUUUUGGUUAUUCUAGUAGUUGUCAGGGUAAUCAUUUUUAAAAGUGGAUUUUUGGCCUAUUGUUAGAGGCAAAUGUUUAAAUUAUUUAAAAGUUUUAGGUCUUCUGUCUAGGAGCCAGGGCUUGGAGUCAGACACCUUAGAAGUGUACCUGAUGCUCUCUCUGUUCUACUGUGGUGAACUGGCAUGGAAACCACUGUGGUGACUGAGCAUCCCAUAUGCUUGAAAUUCUAAGCAACAUCCAAUGCAUAAGUGAUAGUUUGUCAGGAUUUUGUAAGAAUUCCCACUACGGUCAAAUCACCUAUUGUACCAUAUUUUGGUGACCAUCCCCAUUUCUCAAGAUUCUGUGAAGGUGCUUUUCCUACCUCUUCUGAUACCGUGGAUGUCCAUUGUCUAAGUGUUCUACUUGAUACACUAAAUUUCAAUUCAUUUAUUUGUCAGAGCUUCUUUAGAUGAAAUUAAGCAUUGAAAGAUGUGUUUUCACUACAUUCAGUCUCUGUCAGAAUAUAUUCUCUGAAAACUGUGUGAAUUAUGAGAAGAAAACUGUAUAUCCUAAGCUGCUCUCUGCUACCCAGUACAACUUUAGACUAUCUUAUACAGUAAUGAGCAGUAUAUGCAAAAUUAAAUUGCUGUAAGUUUUAUUACAUUCAAAAUAUAAGUAGGAAUGUGGAAACUGCCAUCCCCAAAAUAGUUGAUGCUGUUUUGAGUCAUGUAUAUCAGUGUUCCAUCCAGUGAGUAUUGAGAUUUCAAUUUGCUAGUAAGAUUUUUUUAGUCUAUUCUAUUAUCAUUUAUUUUAAAAUCUUUUAAACUAUUGUUUAAAUUUAAAGGGCUCGGACAAAAAUAGUUUAUUCUACAUAUAGUCGAAAAUCUGCCAAAGAAGUAGGAGAGAAAUUGUUGGAGUUACAUGUGAAUUAUUAUGUUUUAGAAGAGGCAUGGUGUGUUGUGAGAACUAAGUGAGUAUUAACCCUAUGCUAUCUGAUAUGGUACAUUUUUGAGCAACAAAUGUUUCACUUUAUUACAGUAGUCCUGAUUCUUUAAGAAUUUUUAUUUUAAAUUUAUUAAAAUAAUAUCCUGGUA
This is a long non-coding RNA of Homo sapiens (human), 2967 nucleotides long. The record is from Ensembl. NCBI's taxonomy places the organism in Eukaryota, Metazoa, Chordata, Mammalia, Primates, Hominidae.